This 100-nucleotide microRNA precursor is filed under the name Marmota monax (woodchuck). The record is from RNAcentral. Lineage: Eukaryota; Metazoa; Chordata; Mammalia; Rodentia; Sciuridae.
AGUGGAAUAGCUGGGUCAAAUGGUUCCAUUCUAAGUUUUAUAAGAAAUCUCUACAUUGCUUUCCAGAUUGGUUGCACCAGUUUGCAGUCCCACCAGCAAC